GGCGGCCAGGGAGUGUGGGACGGGUGAGGCUGAGUGGAGGCGGUAGAUAGUGUUGGUGUGUGUAUGAGAGAGAGAGAGAGAGAGAGAGAGAGAGAGAGAGAGAGAGAGAGAGAGAGAGAGAGAGAGAGAGAGAGAGAGAGAGAGAGAGAGAGAGAGAGAGAGAAAA
Long non-coding RNA from Portunus trituberculatus (swimming crab), 166 nucleotides. RefSeq lists it as uncharacterized. The transcript has 3 exons. Lineage: Eukaryota; Metazoa; Arthropoda; Malacostraca; Decapoda; Portunidae. The record is from RefSeq and is a predicted model, not a curated record.